This 253-nucleotide ribosomal RNA is filed under the name uncultured bacterium. RNAcentral's name for it is "partial 16S ribosomal RNA". It matches the Rfam family "Bacterial small subunit ribosomal RNA", at positions 524 to 776 of the family's 1533-position model. The record is from RNAcentral.
UACGAAGGGGGCUAGCGUUGCUCGGAUUUACUGGGCGUAAAGGGCGCGUAGGCGGACAGUUUAGUCAGAGGUGAAAGCCCAGGGCUCAACCUUGGAAUUGCCUUUGAUACUGGCUGCCUUGAGUACGGGAGAGGUGAGUGGAACUCCGAGUGUAGAGGUGAAAUUCGUAGAUAUUCGGAAGAACACCAGUGGCGAAGGCGACUCACUGGCCCGUUACUGACGCUGAGGAGCGAAAGCCAGGGGAGCAAACGGG